UGAAUGUGAGGCAUUGGAUUGA
Molecule: microRNA, 22 nt
Filed under: Nicotiana tabacum (common tobacco)
Lineage: Eukaryota; Viridiplantae; Streptophyta; Magnoliopsida; Solanales; Solanaceae
Description: nta-miR6151a
Source: miRBase by way of RNAcentral